Non-coding RNA from Acanthosepion pharaonis, 100 nucleotides. NCBI's taxonomy places the organism in Eukaryota, Metazoa, Mollusca, Cephalopoda, Sepiida, Sepiidae. The record is from the annotation of a GenBank genome assembly.
AGCCAUAUUACGUUGAAACACCGCUUCUUGUAGGAUCACCGACGUUAAGCAGCGUCGAGCCUCGUCAGUACGUAGAUGAGUGUCCGCUUGGGAAUACCAG